This 374-nucleotide ribosomal RNA is filed under the name uncultured bacterium. Its description in RNAcentral is "bacterial SSU rRNA". It matches the Rfam family "Bacterial small subunit ribosomal RNA", at positions 28 to 399 of the family's 1533-position model. The record is from RNAcentral.
GACGAACGCUAGCGGCAGGCUUAAUACAUGCAAGUCGAGGGGCAGCAUAAGUAGCAAUACUUGAUGGCGACCGGCAAACGGGUGCGGAACACGUACGCAACCUUCCUUUAAGCGGGGAAUAGCCCGGGGAAACCCGGAUUAAUACCCCAUAAUAUAUUGAGAAAGCAUUUUCUUUUUAUUAAAGAUUUAUCACUUAAAGAUGGGCGUGCGCCUGAUUAGGUAGUUGGCGGAGUAAUAGCCCACCAAGCCUGCGAUCAGUAACUGGUGUGAGAGCACGACCAGUCACACGGGCACUGAGACACGGGCCCGACUCCUACGGGAGGCAGCAGUAAGGAAUAUUGGUCAAUGGACGCAAGUCUGAACCAGCCAUGCCG